UACGUAGGGGGCAAGCGUUGUCCGGAUUUAUUGGGCGUAAAGAGCGUGUAGGCGGCCUGAAAGGUCAGCUGUGAAAACUCGAGGCUCAACCUCGAGACGUCGGUUGAAACCAUCUGGCUAGAGUCCGGAAGAGGAGAGUUGAAUUCCCGGUGUAGCGGUGAAAUGCGCAGAUAUCGGGAAGAACACCCGUGGCGAAGGCGGCUCUCUGGGACGGUACUGACGCUGAGACGCGAAAGCGUGGGGAGCGAACAGG
RNAcentral lists this ribosomal RNA (253 nucleotides) under uncultured bacterium. Its description in RNAcentral is "partial 16S ribosomal RNA". It matches the Rfam family "Bacterial small subunit ribosomal RNA", at positions 524 to 776 of the family's 1533-position model. The record is from RNAcentral.